AUAAAUGAAUAUGAAAACUCAUAGAAGCUCUUACUGUGCAUAUUUCUUAAAAUGGAAAUAUUUCUUCAAUGACUUAGGAUAUGAGCAAGAAGCUAUUCAGAGGUCAAACUGUUUUUCAAGUACUCCUGGCCCAGAGUUCUGUGAGGCAUCAACUAGAGGACUAUGGCUUUCUCACCUUCAAAUAUGAAUGGCUAAAGUAUGAGUUGCUUGCAAUACUAAUUACUAUGGAAUUGAAGUUUGAAGGUAAAGCCCUCCUGAUGUCUCUCGACCGUUACAGUAUCCUAAAGCGCCAAAUUCACAUUUGUUCUCCUUUAAACCAUCA
Molecule: long non-coding RNA, 322 nt
Filed under: Vulpes vulpes (red fox)
Lineage: Eukaryota; Metazoa; Chordata; Mammalia; Carnivora; Canidae
Description: lncRNA (ENSVVUG00000019632.1)
Source: RNAcentral